GCAGAGUAACUUUUCUUCUGCAAACACGCAUGUUUCUCCUUGCUCAGGUUUGCAGCGUACGAUGGAAAUGAGCAAUAAGACGACGGAUGCAAUUAAGAAUGACAAAUCAUCAAAGCAAGCAGCAUCAGCCAAACCACACCCAAGAUAUUGUCCUCCUACAAGGAACAACCCUAGUAAG
Impatiens glandulifera is the source of this 178-nucleotide long non-coding RNA. RefSeq lists it as uncharacterized. The transcript is spliced from 3 exons. NCBI's taxonomy places the organism in Eukaryota, Viridiplantae, Streptophyta, Magnoliopsida, Ericales, Balsaminaceae. The record is from RefSeq and is a predicted model, not a curated record.